Molecule: ribosomal RNA, 468 nt
Filed under: uncultured bacterium
Lineage: Bacteria
Description: partial 16S ribosomal RNA
Rfam family: Bacterial small subunit ribosomal RNA
Source: RNAcentral
GACGAACGCUGGCGGCGUGCUUAACACAUGCAAGUCGAACGGAAAGGCCCUGCUUUUGUGGGGUGCUCGAGUGGCGAACGGGUGAGUAACACGUGAGUAACCUGCCCCUGACUUUGGGAUAACUUCAGGAAACUGGGGCUAAUACCGGAUAGGAGCUCCUGCUGCAUGGUGGGGGUUGGAAAGUUUCGGCGGUUGGGGAUGGACUCGCGGCUUAUCAGCUUGUUGGUGGGGUAGUGGCUUACCAAGGCUUUGACGGGUAGCCGGCCUGGGAGGGUGGCCAGGCACAUUGGGACUACGGUACGGACCAGACUCCUACGGGAGGCAACGGUGGAGAAUAUUACGCAAUAGGCGGAAGCCUGAUACAGCAACGCCGGGUUCGGAAUAACGGCCUUCGGGUUGUAAACCUCUUUCGCCUGUGACGAAGCGUGAGUGACGGUAAUGGGUAAGGAAGCACCGGCUAACUACGUG